This 465-nucleotide ribosomal RNA is filed under the name Vreelandella stevensii. RNAcentral describes it as "partial 16S ribosomal RNA". It matches the Rfam family "Bacterial small subunit ribosomal RNA", at positions 338 to 795 of the family's 1533-position model. Lineage: Bacteria; Pseudomonadati; Pseudomonadota; Gammaproteobacteria; Oceanospirillales; Halomonadaceae. The record is from RNAcentral.
CCUACGGGAGGCAGCAGUGGGGAAUAUUGGACAAUGGGGGCAACCCUGAUCCAGCCAUGCCGCGUGUGUGAAGAAGGCCCUCGGGUUGUAAAGCACUUUCAGUGAGGAAGAACGCCUGGUGGUUAAUACCCAUCAGGAAAGACAUCACUCACAGAAGAAGCACCGGCUAACUCCGUGCCAGCAGCCGCGGUAAUACGGAGGGUGCGAGCGUUAAUCGGAAUUACUGGGCGUAAAGCGCGCGUAGGUGGCUUGAUAAGCCGGUUGUGAAAGCCCCGGGCUCAACCUGGGAACGGCAUCCGGAACUGUCAAGCUAGAGUGCAGGAGAGGAAGGUAGAAUUCCAGGUGUAGCGGUGAAAUGCGUAGAGAUCGGGAGGAAUACCAGUGGCGAAGGCGGCCUUCUGGACUGACACUGACACUGAGGUGCGAAAGCGUGGGUAGCAAACAGGAUUAGAUACCCCAGUAGUC